CCUACGGGUGGCAGCAGUGAGGAAUAUUGGUCAAUGGGCGAGAGUCUGAACCAGCCAAGUAGCGUGAAGGAUGACUGCCCUAUGGGUUGUAAACUUCUUUUAUAUGGGAAUAAAAUGUUCCACGUGUGGGAUUUUGUAUGUACCAUAUGAAUAAGGAUCGGCUAACUCCGUGCCAGCAGCCGCGGUAAUACGGAGGAUCCGAGCGUUAUCCGGAUUUAUUGGGUUUAAAGGGAGCGUAGGUGGAUUGUUAAGUCAGUUGUGAAAGUUUGCGGCUCAACCGUAAAAUUGCAGUUGAAACUGGCAGUCUUGAGUACAGUAGAGGUGGGCGGAAUUCGUGGUGUAGCGGUGAAAUGCUUAGAUAUCACGAAGAACUCCGAUUGCGAAGGCAGUUCACUGGACUGCAACUGACACUGAGGCUCGAAAGUGUGGGUAUCAAACAGGAUUAGAUACCCUAGUAGUC
Molecule: ribosomal RNA, 460 nt
Filed under: uncultured bacterium
Lineage: Bacteria
Description: partial 16S ribosomal RNA
Rfam family: Bacterial small subunit ribosomal RNA
Source: RNAcentral